Molecule: long non-coding RNA, 482 nt
Organism: Clupea harengus (Atlantic herring)
Lineage: Eukaryota; Metazoa; Chordata; Actinopteri; Clupeiformes; Clupeidae
Source: RefSeq, a predicted model, not a curated record
CCUUGUUGUGGGUAAACAUGAGUGACAACCACAAAGCCACUGGCAGGGGGACCAGAGUUGGCCAUGGUUGCUGUUGGAAGCUAUACAAACCUGAAAUGAACAGCAGUCUUACCUCUACAAAUGGGAACAUCACAGAUAACGCAAUGGGAGCAUCACAGAUGACGUAAUCCAAACCUUGACCCCUCUCCUUUCCUCCAUAAACAUUUGUGGUUCACCCGAACAGCCUUCUUCUCGUGUUGACUCAGAUGUUUUAAGAAGCAUACAGAGUUGUGGUAUAAAAACACACAGUGGCUUUGAGAUGAAACUUUAUUAAAAAUCAGUUGACAGUUUUAAUUUAUUGUGUGCAAUAAGCGACAUUGGUAAUUGAAAGAUGGAGAGAUAGAGAGAGAACAGGAGAGAGAGUGAAGAAAACAGACAGACAGGACAUUUAAAUAUAUUGAGCAGUUAGAUGUUAUAAGUUACAGAAAAAAAAAAAAAAACAA